This 202-nucleotide long non-coding RNA is filed under the name Mytilus galloprovincialis (Mediterranean mussel). Lineage: Eukaryota; Metazoa; Mollusca; Bivalvia; Mytilida; Mytilidae. The record is from RNAcentral.
UGUUUUUUUUUGUUUUUUUUUUAACAACAAAUAUAUACUUUAUUCUAAAGAUAUCUUGUUACAAUUAUACUUCACUGUCCAAGCGCCAGAGGAGUAUUCCUGUGAAAAAACUUCUGAGUUGCCAGGAACAUACUCAGAAUAUAAUAAACAAUAUAACAUAAACUAUUACAAUAUAUGCAAAUUAUUCUAUUAAAUCAAUUUC